Molecule: ribosomal RNA, 442 nt
Filed under: uncultured bacterium
Lineage: Bacteria
Description: bacterial SSU rRNA
Rfam family: Bacterial small subunit ribosomal RNA
Source: RNAcentral
AGAGUUUGAUCCUGGCUCAGGACGAACGCUGGCGGCGUGCCUAACACAUGCUAGUCGAGCGAGGACCGCACCUUCGGGUGUGGAGCCGAGCGGCGAACGGGUGAGUAACACGUGAGCAACCUGCCCCUGGCACCGGGAUAGCCCCGGGAAACUGGGAUUAAUACCGGAUAUGACCGCUGCUCGCAUGGGUGGUGGUGGAAAGGUUCCCCCUUGUGGGGUUCCGGCCGGGGAUGGGCUCGCGGCCUAUCAGCUUGUUGGUGGGGUGACGGCCUACCAAGGCGAUGACGGGUAGCCGGCCUGAGAGGGUGGUCGGCCUCACUGGGACUGAGACACGGCCCAGACUCCUACGGGAGGCAGCAGUGGGGAAUAUUGCGCAAUGGGCGGAAGCCUGACGCAGCGACGCCGCGUGGGGGAUGAAGGCCUUCGGGUUGUAAACCUCUUU